UGGCUCAGUUUCCUGGGGGGUGGGCUCAGCCUGCCCCACCUCCCCUCAGAUGAGCCUAGAGCAGGGAGGCCGGGCUUCCUCCCCAGUGGGAGAGGCAGUUGAGACAGGAGCCUCGCCUGGGCUGUCCUUGCCUCACAUUU
Molecule: non-coding RNA, 140 nt
Organism: Balaenoptera musculus (blue whale)
Lineage: Eukaryota; Metazoa; Chordata; Mammalia; Artiodactyla; Balaenopteridae
Source: Ensembl